This 236-nucleotide unclassified non-coding RNA is filed under the name uncultured Lactarius. Its description in RNAcentral is "sequence contains ITS2". Lineage: Eukaryota; Fungi; Basidiomycota; Agaricomycetes; Russulales; Russulaceae. The record is from RNAcentral.
AAAUCUCAACCUCCUCGGUUUCUUUUGAACGCCGAAGGAGGCUUGGACUUUGGAGGGCUUUGCUGGACUUGAAAAGGCCAGCUCCUCUCAAAUGAAUUAGCGAGGUCCCCUUUGCCGAUCCUCGACGUGUGAUAAGACACUUCCACGUCUCGGUCUUUGGCUCUGUCGCCUCUUGGGACCUGCUUCCAAUCGUCUCUCUACGAGACAACGUUCGAGCUCGCCUCGACCACGUACCC